AAUGGGCGCAAGCCUGAACCAGCCAUGCCGCGUGCAGGAUGAAGGCCCUCUGGGUUGUAAACUGCUUUUAUCUGGGAAGAAACACCCCGUUUCUACGGGGCUUGACGGUACCAGAGGAAUAAGCACCGGCUAACUCCGUGCCAGCAGCCGCGGUAAUACGGAGGGUGCAAGCGUUAUCCGGAUUUACUGGGUUUAAAGGGUGCGUAGGCGGGCCUUUAAGUCAGUGGUGAAAUCUCCCGGCUUAACCGGGAAACUGCCAUUGAUACUAUUGGUCUUGAAUUCAGUUGAGGUGGGCGGAAUGUGUCGUGUAGCGGUGAAAUGCUUAGAUAUGACACAGAACACCAAUUGCGAAGGCAGCUCGCUAAACUGACAUUGACGCUGAGGCACGAAAGCGUGGGGAUCAAA
RNAcentral lists this ribosomal RNA (405 nucleotides) under uncultured bacterium. RNAcentral describes it as "bacterial SSU rRNA". It matches the Rfam family "Bacterial small subunit ribosomal RNA", at positions 370 to 772 of the family's 1533-position model. The record is from RNAcentral.